UCCCGUGUACUGACUCAGCGUUUAGUUCUCCUUUGAUUUCCUCUCCCUCUGGCCACCCCUGUCCCCAAUCGUAAAAGGGGUCAGUCUGCUCAGGCCUGCUUUGAUGGGACCGCGAAGGCCAGGAAGGAACUGGUCCGGGGUUUUCUAAGAGCUGGGGGUGGAUGGAAUCCUCCUGCCUGCGGGUCUUUAAAAACUGAGACCCGGGAAAAGGAGAAGAUGAAGGAAGCCAAGGAUGCCCGCUAUACCAAUGGGCACCUCUUCACCACCAUCUCAGUUUCAGGCAUGACCAUGUGCUAUGCCUGUAACAAGAGCAUCACAGCCAAGGAAGCCCUCAUCUGCCCAAGUAAGUUGUUUGGACCCUGAGAGUCACCCAGACUCGGUGCCCACUGACCCUGAUCUUUUCAUCUGUUUUUUCUGCCUGGAUCCAUGAGGGUUGCUCUUCUCUCUGAUCCCCAGCUGAGCCCAAAUGCCAGGGCCAGAUGCUUGAUCCCUUGCUCCCUGUCCUCACUCUGAGGGGUGGUGGCUGUUGGAAUAUGGCAUAAGCUGGACUAUCUGGGAAUGUGGGGGAGGGGAGGCUGUGCUGGCUCCUCUUGCAGCUGUCAUCCACCAGGCACCCCCCUUGCUCCCCGAACAGCUGCUAAGGGUUAGGGGAACUGAUUGGAGAAGGAGCAGGAAUGUUGUAUAUGUGGA
Molecule: small RNA, 690 nt
Filed under: Pongo abelii (Sumatran orangutan)
Lineage: Eukaryota; Metazoa; Chordata; Mammalia; Primates; Hominidae
Description: retained intron
Source: RNAcentral